AAGACCCCCCAGCGGAAAAAUGGCCAAAAAACGGGUGGGCUAUAGCCUUGGUGGGGGGCGUGGGCGAAGUUCUUCCGCCGGACUCGGAAUGGCCCCAGACUUUGCGGGCGGCCUCCGUGUGCCAAAAAUAGGCCACGGGCACAGCCGCGCCCAAAAAUCAGCCCCCGAAGGUCGGGGCGCCAAGACCCCCCAGCGGAAAAAUGGCCAAAAAACGGGUGGGCUAUAGCCUUGGUGGGGGGCGUGGGCGAACUUCGUCCGCCGGACUCGGAAUGGCCCCAGACUUUGCGAGCGACCUCCGUGUGCCAAAAAUAGGCCACGGGGAAAGCCGUGCCCAGAAAUGAGCCCCUGAAUGUCGGGGCGCCAAGACCCCCCAGCGGAAAAAUUGCCAAAAAACGGGUGGGCUAUAGCCUUGGUGGGGGGCGUGGGCGAACUUCGUCCGCCGGACUCGGAAUGGCCCCAGACUUUGCGGGCGACCUCCGUGUGCCAAAAAUAGGCCACGGGCAAAGCCGUGCCCAGAAAUGAGCCCCUGAAUGUCGGGGCGCCUAGACACCCCAGCGGAAAAAUUGCCAAAAAACGGGUGGGCUAUAGCCUUGGUGGGGGGCGUGGGCGAAGUUCGUCCGCCGGACUCGGAAUGGCCCCAGACUUUGCGGGCGGCCUCCGUGUGCCAAAAUUAGGCCACGGGCACAGCCGCGCCCAAAAAUCAGCCCCCGAAGGUCGGGGCGCCAAGACCCCCCAGCGGAAAAAUGGCCAAAAAACGGGUGGGCUAUAGCCUUGGUGGGGGGCGUGGUCGAAGUUCGUCCGCCGGACUCGGAAUGGCCCCAGACUUUGCGGGCGACCUCCGUGUGCCAAAAAUAGGCCACGGGCAAAGCCGUGCCCAAAAAUGAGCCCUGAAUGGCGGGGCGCCAAGACACCCCAGCGGAAAAAUUGCCAAAAAACGGGUGGGCUAUAGCCUUGGUGGGGGGCGUGGGCGAAGUUCGUCCGCCGGACUCGGAAUGGCCCCAGACUUUGCGGGCGGCCUCCGUGUGCCAAAAAUAGGCCACGGGCAAAGCCGUGCCCAGAAAUGAGCCCCUGAAUGUCGGGGCGCCAAGACACCCCAGCGGAAAAAUGGCCAAAAAACGGGUGGGCUAUAGCCUUGGUGGGGGGCGUGGGCGAAGUUCGUCCGCCGGACUCGGAAUGGCCCCAGACUUUGCGGGCGGCCUCCGUGUGCCAAAAUUAGGCCACGGGCACAGCCGUGCCCAGAAAUGAGCCCCUGAAUGUCGGGGCGCCAAGACACCCCAGCGGAAAAAUGGCCAAAAAACGGGUGGGCUAUAGCCUUGGUGGGGGGCGUGGGCGAAGUUCGUCCGCCGGACUCGGAAUGGCCCCAGACUUUGCG
Molecule: long non-coding RNA, 1372 nt
Filed under: Citrus x clementina
Lineage: Eukaryota; Viridiplantae; Streptophyta; Magnoliopsida; Sapindales; Rutaceae
Description: Citrus clementina (C. clementina) long non-coding RNA (CCLE_LNC006263)
Source: RNAcentral